GGACAAUGGGGGCAACCCUGAUCCAGCCAUUCCGCGUGAGUGAAGAAGGCCUUCGGGUUGUAAAGCUCUUUCGCAAGGGAAGAAAACUUAUGAUCGAAUAAAUCAUGAGGUUGACGGUACCUUGAUAAGAAGCACCGGCUAACUACGUGCCAGCAGCCGCGGUAAUACGUAGGGUGCGAGCGUUAAUCGGAAUUACUGGGCGUAAAGCGUGCGCAGGCGGUUUUGUAAGUCGGAUGUGAAAUCCCCGGGCUCAACCUGGGAACUGCGUUCGAAACUGCAAGGCUAGAGUGUGUCAGAGGGGGGUAGAAUUCCACGUGUAGCAGUGAAAUGCGUAGAGAUGUGGAGGAAUACCAAUGGCGAAGGCAGCCCCCUGGGAUAACACUGACGCUCAUGCACGAAAGCGUGGGGAGCAAACAGGAUUAGAUACCCUGGUAGUCCAC
RNAcentral lists this ribosomal RNA (440 nucleotides) under uncultured Methylophilaceae bacterium. RNAcentral describes it as "bacterial SSU rRNA". It matches the Rfam family "Bacterial small subunit ribosomal RNA", at positions 366 to 798 of the family's 1533-position model. Lineage: Bacteria; Pseudomonadati; Pseudomonadota; Betaproteobacteria; Nitrosomonadales; Methylophilaceae. The record is from RNAcentral.